UGGGGGUCUCCAUAGACACAAGUGGGGUGGAAAAGGCAGGGGUCUCCAUAGACACAGGUGGAAUGGGGAUGGCAGGGGUCUCUAUAUAGGAGAUCUGCAGCAUAUAACAGCCCCGGCAGCGUGUCCCAUAUACCCCUAAAUACUAGUACUACAGCGCCUUCCAUAAGUAUUCACCCCCUUGGUCUUUUCUACAUUGUGUUCUGGUAUAUCCACUGAGUUACAUUUAUUUUAUUUGGAUUUUAUGUAUUGAACCAACACAGAAUAGUCCAUUAUAUAGAAGGGGGGAAUAUUACAUGUAUUUCACAUUUAUUGAGUGCAGAUGUGUUUACCCUUUACUGAGACACCUUACAAAAAUCCGGUGCCACGUAUCACCUUCACAAGUCAUAUGAUCAGUAAAUAGGCUCUAUCUGUCUGCUAUGUAAUCUCAGUACAAAAACCCCCGGUUCUGUGAAGGCCUCAGAGUUUGUUACAGAGCAUUACUGAACAAACAGCAGCAUGAAGACCAAGGAGCUCACCAAACAGGUCAGGGAUAAAGACAAGCUCACCAAACAUGUUAGGGAUAAAGAUGAAAGAGCUCACCAAACAGGUCAGGGAUAAAGACCAAGAAGCUAUCAAACCGGUUAGGGAUAAAGACCAAGGAGCUCACCAAACCGGUCAGGGAUAGACCAAGGAGCUCACCAAACCGGUCAAGGAUAAAGACCAAGGAGCUCACUAAACAGGUCAUGGGUAAAUUAUGUACAAAAUAUCUUUAAGCUCUAAACAUCUCACAGAGCCCUGUAAAAUCCAUCAUCAGGUAAUGGAAAAAAUAUACUGCAACAACAAACCUACCAGGACAAGGCUGUUCAACCAAACUGACAAAAUGGGCAAGGAGAACAUUAUCAUUGGAGCCACUAAGAGGCCCGGGGUGACUGAAGGAGCUGAAAAUCAGCAGCUGAGAUCCAUAUGGAAGAGUGAACAGAAGACGUGACCACAAGGAAUCCGGACAAUCCAUGUGGUCAAAACUGCGGGAAAGAUGGAGCCAAAACCAGGACAAUCCCUGAAGAACAUCUGAUGCCUGGGCCAAAGCUUCAUCAGUCAGGAGGACAAUUACCCUAAACACAGCACUAUAAUAGAACGGAUUAUUUCAAAGUAUUGUAUGUCCUAAAAUGUCAUAGUCCAGAGAAUCUAUAGAAGCCAUGAAGAUACCUGAUCAGACGUCUAUAGAAGCCAUGAAGACACCUGAUCACAGACUUCUAUAGAAGACAUGAAGACACCUGAUCACAGACUUCUAUAGAAGACAUGAAGACACCUGAUCACAGACUUCUAUAGAAGACAUGAAGACACCUGAUCAGACAUCUAUAGAAGCCA
Long non-coding RNA from Hyla sarda, 1347 nucleotides. RefSeq lists it as uncharacterized. The record is from RefSeq and is a predicted model, not a curated record. NCBI's taxonomy places the organism in Eukaryota, Metazoa, Chordata, Amphibia, Anura, Hylidae. The transcript has 2 exons.